UUUAUCUGCAGAUGAUUUGCGGAUUAAUCUUUGGCAUCUGGAAAUUACAGACAGGAGUUUUAACAUUGUGGAUAUCAAGCCUGCCAAUAUGGAAGAGCUAACAGAAGUGAUUACAGCGGCAGAAUUUCAUCCAAACAGCUGUAACACAUUUGUAUACAGCAGCAGUAAAGGAACUAUUCGGCUAUGUGACAUGAGGGCAUCUGCCCUCUGUGAUAGACAUUCUAAAUGUAAGUUUAUUGUAUCUUUCCUUAAAAUGAUUACAUAUUCUGUUUGUCUGAAAUAAGCCUCAGACAUGAUAAGUACAAUUACAGAGGUUUACAAGUCUUAAACCCGUGUGUCCAGAGCCACUUGUACCCUUGGUAAUCUGCCUGCCUCCUCAUGAGGCAUUCCAGGUUAUUCCUGGAAGCUCUCUUGGGGGGCACGUCUAUUGAUUGCCAAGGAAUAUAUUUCUCAUGGAAUGCUGCUGUUCUUUGGUAAUUUGUGGUUGGGCUCUGUAACCUUGUAUUGAAGUAGAGCUGUUCCUUUCUUUCCCAUCCUCCCUUCCUACUUUGAGCUUCCUAGGAAGAUUUCUUCUGAGGUUUUCUUGGCUUAAAAAAAAAAAACAACUUUGGUUUAAAAACUUCAGGAUACAAUAUUCUUGUCUUGUUGAAUAUUAACUCAUGAAAAUUGAUACAUGCCUGUUACCAAAAUAAUUUUACCUGGCUACUAGAAAAUAAAAUCCUGGUAUGAAUUUGGGAUGGGCGAGGAUGGCGUGUUUCUCAUGGUGAUGAUAUAGGCAGUCAGUGAGGCGUAUUGCAGGAAUAAUACCAAUAAACCUGGUGCACUGAAGUCAGAAGUCCCAGGUGAGUCUGGUUCUAAAUUAGUCAUAUGACUGGAAGUAUACUGCAUACUUACGCAUCUUCAACUUCAAUAUUCAAUUAUCCUAAGAAGCUUUCAGGAGAAUUCUAGCCAGAGAGAUGUUUUUCAGUUCUUUAUAUUAGCCUGGCAUUUUACCUCACUUGUAGGGAGUUCGUGAAUGGUUGUUUAGGAAAUGCUUUGUCCAAGCCAGAAUAUUGUACACCUUGCCCUUUUUGUGUUGUUUUGUUUUGUUUUUAGUGUUUGAAGAACCUGAAGAUCCCAGUAACAGGUCAUUUUUUUCCGAAAUCAUCUCCUCUAUUUCGGAUGUAAAAUUCAGCCAUAGUGGUCGAUAUAUGAUGACUAGAGACUAUUUGUCAGUCAAAAUUUGGGACUUAAAUAUGGAAAACAGGCCUGUGGAAACAUACCAGGUGCAUGAAUACCUCAGAAGUAAACUCUGUUCACUGUAUGAAAAUGACUGCAUAUUUGACAAAUUUGAAUGUUGUUGGAAUGGAUCUGACAGUGUUGUCAUGACUGGAUCUUACAAUAAUUUCUUCAGAAUGUUUGACAGAAACACAAAGCGAGACAUAACCCUAGAAGCAUCGCGGGAAAACAAUAAGCCUCGCACAGUUCUGAAGCCUCGCAAAGUCUGUGCAAGUGGCAAGCGAAAGAAAGAUGAAAUAAGUGUUGACAGCCUAGACUUCAAUAAGAAAAUCCUUCACACAGCCUGGCACCCCAAGGAAAAUAUCAUUGCCGUAGCUACUACAAACAAUCUGUAUAUAUUUCAAGACAAAGUGAAUUAGGGUUGGCAUUCCUAGCAGAAGAACCCACUUCCUGCUUAGUUGAGAUAGUUGAAUCUAGCAUUCGUUCCUAUAAAAGAGAGAGGUCCAUUGUGGCGCCCCUUUCCAGUGUUUGACAGUGUGCCAUUCGACAACACAUUGUUAUAGCUACAUGGAGAAAGCUCUGUGGAUUCAUCACUGUGGUGUUCUCCAUGUCUGCUAGCCAUUUAGGUAAGGGUAGGGCACUUUUAAUUUAAAUGACUUCUUGCACCAUCUUGCCUAAUGGACUAGAUUGGACUGUAUCAACAUUGAUUUACUCCACUUUUUAUGCCUUCCAUUGUGAUGACGUCAAACACAGUGAAAGCCUUCAGUCAUGCUAUGGGAUUUAAUUGUGUAUCCUCAUUACUGUAUCAUUUGUGGGGUACACCCCUUCCCCCUUUUUUUAAAUUAAAUACAGCUCAUUCUUACUGUGGCUUGUAGCAUUCCUCCUCUUCUGGCCUCCUGGACUCCUCCCCUUCAUCUCUCUUACCCUUGCCCCCUCCACCCGGUCUUGGUGGUGGUAUAUUAAAAAAAGAAAGAAUGAAAGCACACGAAAUGAGUCAGUUUGGGGUCAGUGGUAUAAAGGGGGUAUAUGUUGCGAACAAAUGUUUUAAUAACAGUUGGCUGUAAUCACUCCUCGCCGUGUCUGGCACUGAAAAUAAGGAAAAAAAAAAACCUACUACUGAAUAAAAGUGACAAAGAAUGG
Molecule: small RNA, 2358 nt
Filed under: Pongo abelii (Sumatran orangutan)
Lineage: Eukaryota; Metazoa; Chordata; Mammalia; Primates; Hominidae
Description: retained intron
Source: RNAcentral